Molecule: long non-coding RNA, 1909 nt
Filed under: Sarcophilus harrisii (Tasmanian devil)
Lineage: Eukaryota; Metazoa; Chordata; Mammalia; Dasyuromorphia; Dasyuridae
Description: lncRNA (ENSSHAG00000028242.1)
Source: RNAcentral
AGACAUUGGAUAAGCAACCCCCAUGAAGAAUAUAGCAGGUAGACUUUUAGGAUUGGACCCUAUUUUACUUACCCUUUGAAAGGGAGCAGACCAGCUUUAAUUAUAAACAGGAUCAUAAUUAUAUAUCACUUAGGCUCUAAGAGAAGACACCCUGAUCAUAAACAGACCAACUGAGUGCUGUGAGAGACUACAAAUGAAAACAGAUGUACACAUUUAGUUGCAGAGCCACAGAACAAAUGAAGCUUUGCUUUUAUUUUCUGUCAGCUGCUUUAGAAAAAGACAAAGCCUACAUUUCUAUCUCUUGGUAAGUAAGCACUGACAACAAAAAUUUCCAUAUGGGAGAAAUCGGCCUCAUUUAUUCAAAAAGAAUACCUUUGGCCUGAACUAAAAAGAAAUGUUAACUUGCUAUAUCAACUCUACAUGAGGAUUCCUAUCAAGAAGAAAGUCUCUGGAAGAAGGGAAGGAGAAAGUACAAUGGUUAGAGGAGAAAUGACACUGUGGCAAUAUUCACUUGUUUAUAACGUAUAUGGAAUUCGUUGAAGUGGGCAGUAAAUUAGCCAUCAUGCAUGUCUUUUAUCCUCUGCUAACCAAUGCCUCAGAUCCAAUUCUGGAUCCAAUUCUUUCUCUAGACAGAUUUGUAGUAACUGACGUUAAAUUUCUGUAACAUUUCAAAGUUAAAUUUAUGCUGUAUUAUUUAUUCUAAAUGGUUUUAGUAAUAUAGGAGCCAAAGUUUAUAUCAGAGCUGACAACCAAACUAAUGUAUUUAUAACUUUGGUAAACUUUAAAGUAAAUUUCUUUACCAACAAGAUUAAUGAUGAGGAAAUACUUCUUAAAGUUCACUGCAAGUCUUUGAUAUAAUAACUGACAUUAACUAAUGCUUUAAGGUUUAUAUACAUUAUAUCUCACUAGUAAUACAUUUUUAUUUCCAUGUCAAAAAUUACUUGUAAAAACAGGAUUCAAAGUUGGCUGCAACAGAAGUAUAAAAAAAAUAAUUAAAAAAAAAAAUCUGACUUUAAAUUGCCUUCCCAACCCUCUCCAAAAUCCACCAAUCACCCAACCACAAUAACAAUCUUCACCUAAUUAGCAACAUCCUGUAGACAGUGCCAUCUUGUCACCUGUAGAUAAUAUAGAAAGUGUAGGAAAUCUCCAGAGUAAAGUUCUUUUCUAUUCAAAUGUUCUGCUUUUCUAUCAUACCUGGUCUGUGAAAAAAUUUGCGCUCUUUAAGGAAGGCUGUAUUCACAAUUCAUUCUCUUACUGCCACAAAUCACAAAUAUGAAUACAUGUACAAUAUUGCUGCAGUUGUCUUUACAGGCCCAAACCUACAGCAAAGAUAAAUAAUAAAACCCCAGGAAACUCAUUCAACCUCAAAAUAAAAAGUAAUGUAAAAUUUUGACAAAACUGCUGUUCGACAGAACUGUUUGUGAGGGAAAAUUCCCAGGGAGAGUCUCCUUUUUAAUCCAUAGCAACACAUGUUGUGUAACUUAUAGUCUUAAGAGUUGUUUGGGAGCCCUGAGAAAUUACAUGACUUAGCGAGGGUCAUAGAAUCAAGUAUGUUUCAGAGGAUGGACCUGAACCCAGACUCCUUCAUUCAGAAGCCAAACUAUCUACUAUAUGUCAUGCUGUCUCAACACUGAUUUCACCAAAAAAAUAGUUUCAGCUUUUAACUCAAACCAAUUUUCUUGGGCACCUUCCCUUUCUCUGGAAACUUGGACUUUUUACUUAUUGUCAUAAAACACCAAGGAAAAAAAGACAAAGCCAAAUUCUCUAACUCCAAUUCUUGCUUAAACUGUUUUCAAAGCAAAUGUAGGUGAAAUAAUCAAAUUCUAAGAACAUAGGAGGAUUAGUUUAAAAAAUAAUUGUUUUUGAAUUCUGUGUAGAGUAAGAAAGCACAAGUACUGAUUGGAGUUCA